This 463-nucleotide long non-coding RNA is filed under the name Homo sapiens (human). RNAcentral describes it as "non-protein coding lnc-SORCS3-15:1". The record is from RNAcentral. Lineage: Eukaryota; Metazoa; Chordata; Mammalia; Primates; Hominidae.
AAGAGAUACCUAAGAACUAAGUGAGCAUGAUCUCCUACAAUCUAAGUUUUAGAAGAGAGAGAGAUUGGUAAAAGAUUCUGUGUUAUGCUGUUCCCCUUUGUAGCCUCUGAGGUCAGGUAGCAUAUAUUCUUUGUGUACAGCAGGAGCCCAGUGUGUAACAUAUUUAGGGCUGGGCUGUUGCUGAUUUAUCUCUACCUAGGUAAAAGGCAGAGAUGUGGAUUGUACAAAGACAAAUAAUUUCAAAUAAAUAUCAGCAUUAAUGUUUAUGUCUAUAGUUGUUUAAAAUUUGUCUCAUUUGAAUACUUCAAGUACCCUAUUAUCGGCCUACCAAAUUCUAUCUCCUUCAAGUCCCAACAUGAGGGAAAAAUCCUUCAUCAGUCAUCCUCGGAAACCCACUAAACCAUAUGAUUUCAAUCUCCGUUGAAUCUCUCAAGUCUUUGCUUAUACUAUGAGAACCUGACAC